Molecule: ribosomal RNA, 510 nt
Filed under: uncultured bacterium
Lineage: Bacteria
Description: bacterial SSU rRNA
Rfam family: Bacterial small subunit ribosomal RNA
Source: RNAcentral
UGAGGCGUGGCUUCCGGAGCUAACGCGUUAAGUCGACCGCCUGGGGAGUACGGCCGCAAGGUUAAAACUCAAAUGAAUUGACGGGGGCCCGCACAAGCGGUGGAGCAUGUGGUUUAAUUCGAUGCAACGCGAAGAACCUUACCUGGUCUUGACAUCCACAGAACUUUCCAGAGAUGGAUUGGUGCCUUCGGGAACUGUGAGACAGGUGCUGCAUGGCUGUCGUCAGCUCGUGUUGUGAAAUGUUGGGUUAAGUCCCGCAACGAGCGCAACCCUUAUCCUUUGUUGCCAGCGGUUAGGCCGGGAACUCAAAGGAGACUGCCAGUGAUAAACUGGAGGAAGGUGGGGAUGACGUCAAGUCAUCAUGGCCCUUACGACCAGGGCUACACACGUGCUACAAUGGCGCAUACAAAGAGAAGCGAUCUCGCGAGAGCCAGCGGACCUCAUAAAGUGCGUCGUAGUCCGGAUUGGAGUCUGCAACUCGACUCCAUGAAGUCGGAAUCGCUAGUAAUC